UAAUAUAAAAAUAAAUUCAUUAAGAAACAGGGAUCAACAAUUCAAAUUUUUUUAAUAACAAAACAUAUCAAUAUAUUAGUUAGAAAAAGAAAUAGGAUGAAAAAUAUAUAGAGAAUACAUCAGAAACAUAUUGAUAUAUUAUUUCUUACUUUAUUUCAUUAUCAUCAUCUUAAAAUACAAAAUCCAUAAUUAAAAGGCCGUUUAAAAUAUAAGAAAAUUAAAAUUAUUGAAUGCCAAAACUAUAACUAACUCAUGGAAAUUUGCAUCAAGAGACUAUGUGAACAUCUCUCAACCACACACACAUGUCCCACUUCUAGAACCAGACGGAUUUUCCAACCAAAAACACUUGGGUUUUAAAAAAAACGGGCACAUAGAUUUUGGACAAUGAGAAUGGUGAGUACAAUCUUUAACAGCUGAAAUGAAAAAUAAAAAUAAAAAUAAAAUGAGUAAAAUGAGUAAAAUAAUAUUAUAUAAAAGUAAAUAAAGAAAUUUUAAAUAAUAAAAAAUGGCUUACUUUCAUCGUUCAUUGUAACAAGAAUUAGACAAAGAAAGAUGAUAAUAACGUAAACAAAUUUGACAACUUCAACCAUAUUUCUCCUCUUUGCAUGCAAAUUAAAUUGUGUAGUUUUAUCACUCUAUAAAGUUCAUUCCCUUCUUACAUACACUAAAUAGGUUUUAGUGCUUUUAAAGUGCCUUCUUAAAGUUAGAGUCAUAUUAUUAUAUGGCUUUUUAGUUUAUCUAAGUGGUGUGCUUGUCUCUUUAGCAUAAAGAGGCCACAUAAAAAAAGUUAACAAUCAUUUUUAUUUUAUACACAUUUUCUAUUAUUAGUAGAAAAGAGACAAUAAAGAAAGAGAAAUAAUAUUUUUGAAUUUUAUGUAAGCCGUAGGCUAUACCAAAACUAUAGCUAUUUAUAUGAUACAUUUCAAACUUAUUAACAAAUCCUAAAGCGAUCAUGAAAGGUUUAUGAUUGAGAAUAAAUAUAUUUGGAUGGAUGGAAAGGCAUUAAGAGAUAAGUUGGUUCAAAAGGCAAUACAUUUAAUAAUUUUCUAGAUUUACAAAAGAAUAUUUAAUUUUCAAAUUAAGAAGGUUUAUGAUCUUGGUGUGUUAUCUAGGGAUGAAAUUGAGACUAGAUCCAAAGCAAUAGGAGAUGUGUUGUCCAUCCUUAAGAUGAACUCCCAAGUGAUGUAAAUUCUAGUUCUCUCAUGCUUCUUUGAAGGUCAAGAGUAUAUUUUUAGCAUUAAAGGUUGGUGACACUAUCACGAAAAACACUUUUUAUCUUGCUUAGAAAUGGGGUUAAUCUCAGUUUCAUAUGCGAGGUAACAAUCGUCAAUACAAAAUGUGCGUCAUUUUUUCCUCAGUAAAAAUUCCACCAAGAAAAAAGAAUUAAUGAUCAUAGGUUCGAUUCACAGUAAUAACACUUUUCAUAAUUUUCAAAAUUGGAUACCGCAUUCCACUUUUUCCAUUGUUUAUAAGAAACACCGAGGUAAUAGUCUUACUACCUCGGUUUAUCAAAAUAACUUAGGGAAAAUCAUUGUUAUUAUUAUUAUUAUUUUAAUUUUUCUAUAUUUUGUUUUAACUUGUAUAACAAAACACGUUUUUCCCAUUUAUGGAAUAAAAAUAUUAUACCUUUUGCCCACUUCUAAAAUAGAAAUAUUGUACAAAAAAAAUCAUCGUUUACACCAAUUGCAAAUUUAAAAUGGCAUACACCUUCUUUUUCACAACAAAACUAAAAUAAAUGAUUAACCAACAAAAAAAAAUAAGAAAUUUAAUUCUUGAACGGUCGUCCAAAAGUUUUCUUUUGUGAGUUUGUAGCUGAUCGUUAAACACCUAUAAUUUGUACCACAUUUGAAACGAAUUAUGAUAAUUAACAACUACAAUAUUAAAAUUUUAAACCAUUGAUCUCAUCAGCAGCAGUAGCAACAACAACAACGUUCAAACUUCAAUAUCAACAACAUGUACCAAUCACUACAACUAACAUAAAUAAUUUAUAAUCAUAUAUGAAUGUCACAAAGAAAAAAACUUACUUUAGGGGUUUCUAAUAUUCUGACUUUUACUUCUAAAACCAUGCAACAUAUGAUAUCUUUCGCAUCUCUAUAUGUUCGGAAAAAAAUAAAUGUUAGUAAAACGAAGACAAAUGUAAAAUGAAUAAAUAUAUAUUACUAAGUCAUAAAAUAUUUACUUACUGAUUCUCUCAUAUCCCCUAUUGAUUAUU
RNAcentral lists this long non-coding RNA (2212 nucleotides) under Lathyrus oleraceus (garden pea). Its description in RNAcentral is "Pisum sativum (pea) long non-coding RNA (PSAT_LNC029915)". The record is from RNAcentral. Lineage: Eukaryota; Viridiplantae; Streptophyta; Magnoliopsida; Fabales; Fabaceae.